AUUGAACGCUGGCGGCAUGCCUUACACAUGCAAGUCGAACGGUAACGGGCCUUCGGGUGCCGACGAGUGGCGAACGGGUGAGUAAUACAUCGGAACGUGCCCGAUCGUGGGGGAUAACGAGGCGAAAGCUUUGCUAAUACCGCAUACGAUCUACGGUUGAAAGCAGGGGACCGCAAGGGCUUGCGCGGACGGAGCGGCCGAUGGCAGAUUAGGUAGUUGGUGGGAUAAAAGCUUACCAAGACGACGAUCUGUAGCUGGUCUGAGAGGAUGAUCAGCCACACUGGGACUGAGACACGGCCCAGACUCCUACGGGAGGCAGCAGUGGAGAAUUUUGGGCAAUGGGCGCAAGCCUGAUCCAGCCAUGCCGCGUGCAGGAUGAAGGCCUUCGGGUGGUAAACUGCUUUUGUACGGAACGAAAAGCCUUCUUUUAAUACAGGAGGGUCAUGACGGUACCGUAAGAAUAAGCACCGGCUAACUACGUG
This 482-nucleotide ribosomal RNA is filed under the name uncultured bacterium. Its description in RNAcentral is "partial 16S ribosomal RNA". It matches the Rfam family "Bacterial small subunit ribosomal RNA", at positions 30 to 507 of the family's 1533-position model. The record is from RNAcentral.